This 791-nucleotide ribosomal RNA is filed under the name uncultured bacterium. Its description in RNAcentral is "bacterial SSU rRNA". It matches the Rfam family "Bacterial small subunit ribosomal RNA", at positions 8 to 796 of the family's 1533-position model. The record is from RNAcentral.
AGAGUUUGAUCAUGGCUCAGAUUGAACGCUGGCGGCAUGCCUUACACAUGCAAGUCGAACGGCAGCACGGGAGCAAUCCUGGUGGCGAGUGGCGAACGGGUGAGUAAUACAUCGGAACGUGCCCAAUCGUGGGGGAUAACGCAGCGAAAGCUGUGCUAAUACCGCAUACGAUCUACGGAUGAAAGCAGGGGACCGCAAGGCCUUGCGCGAAUGGAGCGGCCGAUGGCAGAUUAGGUAGUUGGUGAGGUAAAGGCUCACCAAGCCUUCGAUCUGUAGCUGGUCUGAGAGGACGACCAGCCACACUGGGACUGAGACACGGCCCAGACUCCUACGGGAGGCAGCAGUGGGGAAUUUUGGACAAUGGGCGCAAGCCUGAUCCAGCCAUGCCGCGUGCAGGAUGAAGGCCUUCGGGUUGUAAACUGCUUUUGUACGGAACGAAACGGCUCUUUUUAAUAAAGAGGGCUAAUGACGGUACCGUAAGAAUAAGCACCGGCUAACUACGUGCCAGCAGCCGCGGUAAUACGUAGGGUGCAAGCGUUAAUCGGAAUUACUGGGCGUAAAGCGUGCGCAGGCGGUGAUGUAAGACAGUUGUGAAAUCCCCGGGCUCAACCUGGGAACUGCAUCUGUGACUGCAUCGCUGGAGUGCGGCAGAGGGGGAUGGAAUUCCGCGUAGCAGUGAAAUGCGUAGAUAUGCGGAGGAACACCGAUGGCGAAGGCAAUCCCCUGGGCCUGCACUGACGCUCAUGCACGAAAGCGUGGGGAGCAAACAGGAUUAGAUACCCUAGUAGUCC